This 452-nucleotide unclassified non-coding RNA is filed under the name Bombus terrestris (buff-tailed bumblebee). RNAcentral's name for it is "misc RNA ENSBTSG00005028632.1". Lineage: Eukaryota; Metazoa; Arthropoda; Insecta; Hymenoptera; Apidae. The record is from RNAcentral.
UGUUAGCUCGGGGAGGGCAGGGAUACGGCGCAGCACACGCUGGAGCUCUGUCCGACGUGGGAGCUGUCCCGCUACACCCUGCGGCACGUCAUAGGCAAAAGAUUGACGCCCUCGGCGAUCAUAGAAGGGAUGUUGAGCGGGCCACAGGAAUACGAGGCUGUCCGCCUCUUCUGCGAGCGAGUUAUGCUCGCAAAGGAGCGAGCAGAAAUGGAGAGAAAGAAAAACUCUCACCCUUGUAGGAUAACGCGAUGGAGGGAGAUGGCGGUCAGGCGGCCUAGAGCCGCUUCAUCGCCGUCCCAACGGACCACAACUAGAAGGGGGGAUAGCGCUAGGGGCAAUGCCCCCCCCCCCCACCCUAACGCCAAAUUCAACAUCAGGGAAUUAUUAGGACUGGCUCGAACAAGAGGACGCGAGAAGGGGGUGCAACAGAAGAUAAUUCAUAAGAGGUUGCU